GUGCUCGCUACGGCAGCACAUGCACUAAAAUUGGAACGGUACGGAGAUUAGCAUAGCCCCUGUGCAAGGAUGACAUGCAAAUUCUUUCAGUGUAUAUGUACUUGU
Small nuclear RNA from Cavia aperea (Brazilian guinea pig), 105 nucleotides. The record is from Ensembl. NCBI's taxonomy places the organism in Eukaryota, Metazoa, Chordata, Mammalia, Rodentia, Caviidae.